Molecule: long non-coding RNA, 610 nt
Filed under: Mustela putorius furo (domestic ferret)
Lineage: Eukaryota; Metazoa; Chordata; Mammalia; Carnivora; Mustelidae
Description: lncRNA (ENSMPUG00000027093.1)
Source: RNAcentral
AAGAUUCUAAAGAGUUUUAAUACCACAAGAAUCCUGUGGCUUUUUUAUAAGCAUCUUUCUUCCCUCUUGCACUAGCUCUCUUCUCCAACCCUAAACCUGGUAAUCACCAAUCCAACCUCAUUUCUACAGGUGAACUGAGAAAAGUGGCUUCAUUAAGACAAUGAAAGGCAUUGUGGAUUAAAGAUUCAUACCUAUUCUAUGAAUGAUCAAUGAAAGGUUGGCUACAGUUCACUUAUGGGAGAUUUGAGGUUUUGAUUACUGAACAUUGGUCAUCAAUUCUGGUGUUUAUCCAAAUGACCCAUCGACCUCUUUCGAAAAUCUCUAUGUCUGGCCAUUCUCCUGAGAUGAACUUAAGAAAAGCCUGCACACCAUCAGUCACAGUUUCCUCAUCAAAAAUGAAGAUAAGGACAACUGCUUUCUCCAUCUUCUGAAGACACAUGCAGAGGCUGAGAAGUCCCAAGAUCUGCAGACAGCAAGUGGAAGACCCAGAUAUAGUGGUAUACAGUAAUGGUACAAGACCCAAGAAGAACUGAGUUUUCAUUUUGUUUGAAGGCAAAAGAAGACCAAAAUCCCACCUCAAGUAGUCAGAAAGGUAGAGUACCUUCUUAAU